CCUGAAGCGGCCGUCGGCGGCCCGAUCGGCCUGAUCCGCGACGGUGACAUCAUCGAGCUCGAUGCGGUCAACGGCACGCUCAAUGUCAAACUGACCGAUGCCGAACUGGCCGAGCGCAGGAAGGCGUGGAAGCCGCGUGAAACCUCGGUCGGUUCCGGCGUGCUUUGGAAAUAUGCCCAGCAGGUGGGACCGGCGGUCAAGG
Molecule: unclassified non-coding RNA, 202 nt
Filed under: Hevea brasiliensis (rubber tree)
Lineage: Eukaryota; Viridiplantae; Streptophyta; Magnoliopsida; Malpighiales; Euphorbiaceae
Source: RNAcentral